UCUGGAUCCCCGGGAGGACCCCACCCCGACCUGGCCGGCCCCCGUGACCGCCCUCCCUGCCGAGGGGGCACCUGUCCGGGUGGUCCGCAGCCUGCACACGGUAGGUGCACCCUGGGCAGGUGCUUCCCCCGCAGGAGCCCCUCCGGCCAGGUGCGGCCCCUAACAGGUGCUUCUCCUGCAGUUGCUCCUCCAGCAGGUGAGGCCCCCGGCAGGUCAGCUGCCCAUAGGGUGGAGAGGGAGAGGCCUUAGCGGGGACCCUCGGAGGCACCCGUGUGAAGGAGGAGUAGCAAUGUCAUUCAAUUCUUUGGACUUAAAUGCCAAAAUCACAUACUGAUGUAUCAAUCUCUU
This 348-nucleotide long non-coding RNA is filed under the name Homo sapiens (human). Its description in RNAcentral is "LHRI_LNC1372.1". Lineage: Eukaryota; Metazoa; Chordata; Mammalia; Primates; Hominidae. The record is from RNAcentral.